AUCGCUCUUUGUAAAUAUAAAAUAAGGAGUCGUACCUGCCCGGUGAAAAAUUUAACGGCCGCAGUACCCUGACUGUGCAAAGGUAGCAUAAUCAUUUGCCUUUUAAUUGAAGGCUGGAAUGAAUGGUUUGACGAAAUUCUUCUGUCUCUAUCUUAUUAAAUAGAAUUUAAUUUUUAGGUGAAGAAGCCUGAAUGAAGUCAAAAGACGAAAAGACCCUGUCGAACUUUAGAGUAAUUAUAAAAUUAUAUGCUUUUUAGAAUAAGUGUUUUUUAGAAUUUCUCUUUUGUUGGGGUGACAGAAGAACAGAUAAAGCUUCUUUUAGUUGAGGAAACUUAUAUGUUGAAAAGAUCCAUAAAAAUUUAUGAUAGUAAGAUAAGUUACCGCAGGGAUAACAGCGUUAUUUUUCUGGAGAGUUCAAAUUGAAGGAAAAGAUUGCGACCUCGAUGUUGGAUUGGAAUACCUAAUAGGCGGAGAAGCUUGUUGUUGGGGGUCUGUUCGACCUUUAAAUUUCCACAUG
RNAcentral lists this ribosomal RNA (517 nucleotides) under Liolophura japonica. RNAcentral's name for it is "partial 16S ribosomal RNA". It matches the Rfam family "Bacterial large subunit ribosomal RNA", at positions 1815 to 2602 of the family's 2925-position model. The record is from RNAcentral. Lineage: Eukaryota; Metazoa; Mollusca; Polyplacophora; Chitonida; Chitonidae.